AUUGAACGCUGGCGGCAGGCCUAACACAUGCAAGUCGAACGGUAACAGGAAACUGCUUGCUGUUUCGCUGACGAGUGGCGGGCGUGUGAGUAAUGUCUGUGAAACUGCCUGAUGGAGGGGGAUAACUACUGGAAACGGUUGCUACUACCGCAUAGCGUCGCAAGACCAAAGAGGGGGACCUUCCGGCCUCUCGGCUUCGGCUGUGCCCAGGUGGGAUUAGCGAGUAGGUGGGGUAACGGCUCACCUAGGCGACGAUCCCUAGCUGGUCUGAGAGGAUGACCAGCCACACUGGAACUGAGACACGGUCCAGACUCCUACGGGAGGCAGCAGUGGGGAAUAUUGGACAAUGGGCGAAAGCCUGAUGCAGCCAUGCCGCGUGUAUGAAGAAGGUCUUCGGGUUGUAAAGUACUUUCAGCGGGGAGGAAGGGAAGAAAGUUAAUACCUUUCCUUAUUGACGUUACCAGCAGAAGAAGCACCGGCUAACUCCGUG
This 490-nucleotide ribosomal RNA is filed under the name uncultured bacterium. RNAcentral's name for it is "partial 16S ribosomal RNA". It matches the Rfam family "Bacterial small subunit ribosomal RNA", at positions 30 to 507 of the family's 1533-position model. The record is from RNAcentral.